UGCGGCGUAGCUCAAUUGGAAUCAGAGCGUUCGUCUUGUAAAUGAGAAGAUGCGAGUUCGACUCUCGCCGCCGCAG
This 76-nucleotide transfer RNA is filed under the name Acidobacteriota bacterium. RNAcentral's name for it is "tRNA-Thr". It matches the Rfam family "tRNA". From Rfam's summary of the family: Transfer RNA (tRNA) molecules are approximately 80 nucleotides in length. RNAcentral also lists the same sequence under 1 other name. The record is from RNAcentral. Lineage: Bacteria; Pseudomonadati; Acidobacteriota.